This 687-nucleotide long non-coding RNA is filed under the name Brachypodium distachyon (stiff brome). RNAcentral's name for it is "long non-coding RNA (BDIS_LNC001046)". Lineage: Eukaryota; Viridiplantae; Streptophyta; Magnoliopsida; Poales; Poaceae. The record is from RNAcentral.
GUUUUGGCUCUGGUUUGGGCAUUGGCUCAGGCUUGGGUUCUGGUUUAGGCAUGGGCUCAGGCUUUGGUUCCGGUUUAAUUGGCUCAGGCUUCGGUUCCGGCUUAGGCAUUGGCUCGGGCUUGGGCUCAGGUUUUGGCUCAGGUUUAGGCAUUGGCUCGGGUUUGGGCUCAGGUUUAGGCUCAGGUUUAGGCACUGGCUCAGGCUUAGGCUCGGGUUUAGGCUCAGGUUUAGGCACUGGCUUAGGCAUGGGCUCGGGUUUUGGUUCCGGUUUAGGCAUUGGCUCAGGUUUGGGCUCGGGUUUAGGCUCGGGUUUAGGCAUUGGCUUAGGCAUGGGCUCGGGUUUUGGUUCCGGUUUGGGCAUGGGCUCUGGUUUUGGCUCGGGUUUUGGCAUUGGCUUAGGCAUGGGCUCUGGUUUUGGUUCCGGUUUAGGCAUCGGCUCAGGUUUCGGCUCUGGUUUAGGCAUUGGUUUGGGCAUUGGUUCCGGCUUGGGCUCUGGCUUCGGCUCGGGCUUGGGCAUGGGUUCAGGUUUGGGCUCAGGUUUCGGUCCCGGUUUGGGCAUUGGUUCUGGCUUCGGCUCAGGUUUCGGUUCAGGUUUAGGCAUGGGUUCAGGUUUCGGUUCAGGUUUUGGCUCUGGUUUUGGCAUGGGCUUGGGCUCCGGUUUUGGCAUGGGUUUUGGUUCCGGCUUUG